GGAGAGGUGGCUGAGCGGUCUAAAGCGGCGGUCUUGAAAACCGUAGAAGGUAACACUUCCGUGGGUUCGAAUCCCACUCUCUCCGCCA
This 88-nucleotide transfer RNA is filed under the name Achromatium sp. WMS1. RNAcentral describes it as "tRNA-Ser". It matches the Rfam family "tRNA". Rfam says of the family: Transfer RNA (tRNA) molecules are approximately 80 nucleotides in length. Their secondary structure includes four short double-helical elements and three loops (D, anti-codon, and T loops). The record is from RNAcentral. Lineage: Bacteria; Pseudomonadati; Pseudomonadota; Gammaproteobacteria; Thiotrichales; Thiotrichaceae.